GGGUGUAUAGUUCAGUUGGCAGAGCAUUGGGCUUUUUACCUAAUGGUCGCCGAUUCAAGUCCUGCUAUACCCA
Molecule: transfer RNA, 73 nt
Filed under: Olea europaea subsp. europaea
Lineage: Eukaryota; Viridiplantae; Streptophyta; Magnoliopsida; Lamiales; Oleaceae
Rfam family: tRNA
About the family: Transfer RNA (tRNA) molecules are approximately 80 nucleotides in length. Their secondary structure includes four short double-helical elements and three loops (D, anti-codon, and T loops).
Source: Rfam by way of RNAcentral